CAAUAUAAAUAAUUUGCUAUCCAUAUAAUCCUGAUAAUAUGGUUCGGGAGUUUCUACAAGAAGACCGAUAAUCUUCUUACUAUGGGUAAAUCCAUUAGGAAC
This 102-nucleotide non-coding RNA is filed under the name Fervidicella metallireducens. RNAcentral describes it as "Guanine sequence". It matches the Rfam family "Purine riboswitch aptamer". Rfam says of the family: Riboswitches are metabolite binding domains within certain messenger RNAs that serve as precision sensors for their corresponding targets. Allosteric rearrangement of mRNA structure is mediated by ligand binding, and this results in modulation of gene expression. The record is from RNAcentral. Lineage: Bacteria; Bacillati; Bacillota; Clostridia; Eubacteriales; Clostridiaceae. RNAcentral also lists the same sequence under 1 other name.